ACAAUGGAUGUAGAGGAAAGUGGCGGACGGGUGAGUAACGCGUGAGGAACCUGCCUUGAAGAGGGGGACAACAGUUGGAAACGACUGCUAAUACCGCAUGACACAUAGAUGUCGCAUGGCAUUUAUGUCAAAGAUUUAUCGCUGAAAGAUGGCCUCGCGUCUGAUUAGCUAGUUGGUGAGGUAACGGCCCACCAAGGCGACGAUCAGUAGCCGGACUGAGAGGUUGAACGGCCACAUUGGAACUGAGACACGGUCCAAACUCC
This 263-nucleotide ribosomal RNA is filed under the name uncultured Oscillibacter sp. Its description in RNAcentral is "partial 16S ribosomal RNA". It matches the Rfam family "Bacterial small subunit ribosomal RNA", at positions 75 to 339 of the family's 1533-position model. The record is from RNAcentral. Lineage: Bacteria; Bacillati; Bacillota; Clostridia; Eubacteriales; Oscillospiraceae.